RNAcentral lists this ribosomal RNA (1353 nucleotides) under Didymocyrtis foliaceiphila. Its description in RNAcentral is "eukaryotic LSU rRNA". It matches the Rfam family "Eukaryotic large subunit ribosomal RNA", at positions 72 to 1445 of the family's 3401-position model. The record is from RNAcentral. Lineage: Eukaryota; Fungi; Ascomycota; Dothideomycetes; Pleosporales; Phaeosphaeriaceae.
GGAUUGCCCUAGUAACGGCGAGUGAAGCGGCAACAGCUCAAAUUUGAAAUCUGGCUCUUUCAGAGUCCGAGUUGUAAUUUGCAGAGGGCGCUUUGGCGUUGGCAGCGGUCCAAGUUCUUUGGAACAGGACGUCACAGAGGGUGAGAAUCCCGUACGUGGUCGCUAGCCUUCGCCGUGUAAAGCCCCUUCGACGAGUCGAGUUGUUUGGGAAUGCAGCUCUAAAUGGGAGGUAAAUUUCUUCUAAAGCUAAAUACUGGCCAGAGACCGAUAGCGCACAAGUAGAGUGAUCGAAAGAUGAAAAGCACUUUGGAAAGAGAGUCAAAUAGCACGUGAAAUUGUUGAAAGGGAAGCGCUUGCAGCCAGACUUGCCUGUAGUUGCUUAUCCGGACUUUUGUCCGGUGCACUCUUCUGCGGGCAGGCCAGCAUCAGUUUGGGCGGUUGGAUAAAGGUCUCUGUCAUGUACCUCCUUUCGGGGAGGCCUUAUAGGGGAGACGACAUACAACCAGCCUGGACUGAGGUCCGCGCAUCUGCUAGGAUGCUGGCGUAAUGGCUGUAAGCGGCCCGUCUUGAAACACGGACCAAGGAGUCUAACAUCUAUGCGAGUGUUUGGGUGUCAAGCCCAGACGCGUAAUGAAAGUGAACGGAGGUGGGAACCUUUUAGGUGCACCAUCGACCGAUCCUGAUGUCUUCGGAAGGAUUUGAGUAAGAGCAUGGCUGUUGGGACCCGAAAGAUGGUGAACUAUGCUUGAAUAGGGUGAAGCCAGAGGAAACUCUGGUGGAGGCUCGCAGCGGUUCUGACGUGCAAAUCGAUCGUCAAAUUUGGGCAUAGGGGCGAAAGACUAAUCGAACUAUCUAGUAGCUGGUUCCUGCCGAAGUUUCCCUCAGGAUAGCAGUAACGUAUUCAGUUUUAUGAGGUAAAGCGAAUGAUUAGAGGCCUGGGGGUUGAAACAACCUUCACCUAUUCUCAAACUUUAAAUAUGUAAGAAGUCCUUGUUACUUGAUUGAACGUGGACACUUGAAUGUACCGUUACUAGUGGGCCAUUUUUGGUAAGCAGAACUGGCGAUGCGGGAUGAACCGAACGCGGGGUUAAGGUGCCAGAAUAUACGCUCAUCAGACACCACAAAAGGUGUUAGUUCAUCUAGACAGCAGGACGGUGGCCAUGGAAGUCGGAAUCCGCUAAGGAGUGUGUAACAACUCACCUGCCGAAUGAACUAGCCCUGAAAAUGGAUGGCGCUCAAGCGUAUUACCCAUACCCCGCCGCCGGGGCAGAAUUUAUGCCCCGGCGAGUAGGCAGGCGUGGAGGCUCGUGACGAAGCCUUGGGGGUGACCCCGGGUCGAACGGCCUCUAGUGC